Molecule: small nuclear RNA, 102 nt
Organism: Crotalus tigris (Tiger rattlesnake)
Lineage: Eukaryota; Metazoa; Chordata; Lepidosauria; Squamata; Viperidae
Source: RefSeq, a predicted model, not a curated record
GUCAGCCUUCUGCAGCACAUAUACUAAAAUUGGAACGAUACAGAGAAGAUUAGCAUGGCUAAUUAGCAUGACACACAAAUUCGUGAAGCGUUCCAAAAAAUA